Molecule: ribosomal RNA, 606 nt
Filed under: uncultured bacterium
Lineage: Bacteria
Description: bacterial SSU rRNA
Rfam family: Bacterial small subunit ribosomal RNA
Source: RNAcentral
AGAUACCCUGGUAGUCCACGCCGUAAACGAUGAAUGCUAGGUGUUGGAGGGCAAAGCCCUUCGGUGCCGCCGCAAACGCAAUAAGCAUUCCACCUGGGGAGUACGUUCGCAAGAAUGAAACUCAAAGGAAUUGACGGGGACCCGCACAAGCGGUGGAGCAUGUGGUUUAAUUUGAAGCAACGCGAAGAACCUUACCAAGUCUUGACAUCCCCCUGACCGGACAGUAAUGUGUCCUUUCCUUCGGGACAGGGGAGACAGGUGGUGCAUGGUUGUCGUCAGCUCGUGUCGUGAGAUGUUGGGUUAAGUCCCGCAACGAGCGCAACCCUUAUCCUUAGUAGCCAGCAGUAAGAUGGGCACUCUAGGGAGACUGCCAGGGAUAACCUGGAGGAAGGUGGGGAGGACGUCAAAUCAUCAUGCCCCCUAUGAUUUGGGCCACACACGUGCUACAAUGGCGUAAACAAAGGGAAGCGAGAGUGUGAGCUUAAGCAAAUCCCAAAAAUAACGUCCCAGUUCGGACUGCAGUCUGCAACUCGACUGCACGAAGCUGGAAUCGCUAGUAAUCGCGGAUCAGAAUGCCGCGGUGAAUAAAAUGCCGGGUCUUGUACA